This 3232-nucleotide unclassified non-coding RNA is filed under the name Exaiptasia diaphana. Its description in RNAcentral is "uncharacterized LOC110232295, transcript variant X2". The record is from RNAcentral. Lineage: Eukaryota; Metazoa; Cnidaria; Anthozoa; Actiniaria; Aiptasiidae.
CACUCUCGCAGCAUAUCUCGACGCCAUGUUGAAAAUGAGCUGCUGCUGACCGUCAAGUACUGUAGCUUCGUAAACAAAAUGGUUGCCGGUGUGAAGGUAGUUAUUCGUGGGAGUUUGCUUCGGAAUUUACCAUCGUUUGCACUACGAGGAAUGGAGGAAAAUCCUCUGGUUAGAAGAAGAACNUCUAGUCNAUCAUUUUCAUCUAGUGGGACACAUUAUUUGGUGGUGGGACUUGGUAACCAUACCAUGCCGGAAACACGGCACAGCAUUGGAAUGACAGUUAUCAAUGAUCUAGCCAACAAGCUGGAAGUAAAGUGGCAACAAAAUAAACGUUUUUCUGGUUUUUACGGCAUUACACAAGUGAAUCAAUUAGAAGUUAUUUUAUUUAAAUCAAAACUUCUAAUGAACAUCAAUGGAAGAAGUGUCUUCAAAAUAGCCUGUGCGUAUAAUAUUCAACCAAGUCAUAUUCUUCUUAUUCAUGAUGAUCUCGAUAAAGUUCUUGGAAAAUAUUCUUUUAAAAAUGGUGGCAGUGCCAGAGGACAUAAUGGAGUCAAGUCAGUACUUACAAGUUUUAAGUCCUGUGACUUUAAGAGGCUUCUGGUUGGAAUCGGAAGGCCUGCCAACAGAUCUCAAGUAGUCGAGUACGUUUUACAGAAGUUNACCGAUCAAGAGAACGAUGUAGUAACUAAUAUCGUUGAUGAGUGUAGUGAACUUGNCCUUAAUCAUCUGAAAGUGUUUGCAUUGGAUCAAAACGCAAGAACACUCAAGAAAUAAUCCUGUGCGGGGUGGGCAGCGCAGUAACAUGGAAAACAUAAAAAAUGGUCAAAUUGACAAAUUUAUGAUUCAAAUCCAAAUCGAAGACUUUAUUUUGAAAAAUUAGAGAUAUCUAGUUUUUCUUUAAGCGUUAAAGAUAUUUUUAUAUUUUUAUUUUCUGUGAAACGCGUGAUUUCUGGGAGAACAAGACUGUGGACAAAUCCAGUAUUCUGAUUGGCUAAUGAAACUAUUGUAUAUUCAAGAUAGAUAAUGGUCGCAUCGAAUGAAUAGUCGAAAAAUGUUGAGAAAAAUUGUUCUUUAUGGUCCUCUUUCGACAAAUUUGCUCUUUGUUUUGUUUGGUANUCCUUCGUAUUUUAAAUGCCCUCGCCAUAAUUACGUCAUGCCAAAACCAACAUUCUGUAAAUUUAAUGGAAAUCAUUUACAUCAAAUUUAUAACCUUUAAAGCGCGCGAUUUUUUUCCAGUGCUGUGACGUNAUUUUGCCGUAAGGCACUCUGUUAAUAUCCGUGUUGUGAUCCGUUGCACAGUCAUACGAAAUCCGCUCUAUUAACGAAUGUUUACAGCAAAUGUUUACACAAAAUACUGAAUAAAUCAGCUGUGCGACCAAUGAGGAGAAAGCAGAUUUUAAAACAACCCAUCUAUUACCGUAUAAAAAGAUAUCUCGUCAGGCAUUUNGAAUGCCGUAUCUAAAAUAGUGCAUUACAUCAUCAUACAUAGAAGAAUUCUAGGAAGUAANUUUAACUGCGUCACUACGCAUUUAAGCUUGAGUAUUCGAGAAGACAAAAUGUCGUCAGGAUUGAGCGCCGGAUUAGCAACGUUUAACAGCUGUAACAAGGCUGGAUCCAUCCCACACUUUACACAACAUCUUUCUCGUUAUCCAAACGACUAUCAGGCCCUCGUCUGGCGAGGUAGGGCGCACAGUAUCAUCGGGAACACUGCAGAGGCAAGAGCUGAUUUCCAAAAAGCUUGUGUGAGCUUUGGUGCAAAGAAGAAUCUCGCUCAAGCACUUUUAGAGCAUAUCAACGGAAAUAUUGCACAGAAAGGUGCUAUUCUUCAAAAUACUGUAAGACAGUACCCAAAUUGUUCAGAAGCAUGGAGUGAACUGGGCAGCCAUACUCAUAAAUCAGAGACCAAAACUGACCCUGCCUUAGCAUAUCUGCAAAAAGCAAGUCACCUUGCAACAGUUAAUAAUGAGGCAAAAGAGCCGUGGUUUCCCUGGUGCAAUCAGGAAAUCGGUGACAUUUACUACUUUGAAAAACAACAAGUAGCUAAUGCGAGGAAAUACUACGAAACCGCCGUUUUGUCAGGAAACACUUUGACUAUUGGCUAUCUUGGGCUAAGUAGAUGCGACAUUCUAGACGACAAUCCUGCGAGGGCCAAGAGAUACUUUUCAACUGCAAAGAGCCUAAACCCAGUUCUUGUAAAGUGUGAGACCUUUGAGAAAUUUAGUGCUGAAUCUCGAGCCCGCUACAAUAUGCUAAAGUUACAAUCCAUGUUUCUUGAAUUGCUUACAGCAUCCAGUGAAUCUCAGACAGUUGAAGAACGACAACCAUCAAGCUCCCAACGCCAACAUGGCGCUACCUCUCGUGCCUACAGAUCAGCCAGUGCAAGUGGAGGUGUUUAUCCUUCACUUCCAAGUUCAAGCCAGCACACAACUCGAGCUGAGAGCGCCUUUACAUCCAGGCAAUCGCCUAUGGGAGCCCAUACCAAUGCAAUUGCAAGCCAGAGUCGUCAAUCUAAAGGAAGAAAAGGGGUACCAGAGAAAGCGAGAGGAUACAGUACUGUUAGAUCUGGUAGGCGAGGUGAUGGCGGAAAUGGCGGAUCUGGAGAUGGAAGCGGAAGUGAUGAGGAAGAAAGCAUGAGUCCAGCAGAAAAGGCCAUACAAACAUGGAAAAAAUUAAAGAAAGAAGCUCCAUCUNGGAGNGAGUAUCAUNGAAUGCAGUUCNUUCAAUCAAAGUGCAAAAACUUCUGGUAUUCGANAAUCGCCUCGAACGUGCGACACGCAGGAGCAUUUUUCAAGAAAUACCUUGAUAGAGGCAACACNAUUGAAUUACUUUGCUCGACCGAUGAAAAUCUGAAGGAUAUGCUUGGCAAGCACGAAUCUGGGAAAUACGGAGUCAUUAAGAAAAGCGACAUGAACGGAAUAUUCUAGAACAAAACACACAGUACAUGACAUAUGCUAAAACACUAAGCAUUCCCUCCAAAUAAGAGGUGACGCAUAUGUAUAUCGGUAGCCAUUUUAGACCCUAUAUUAAGACCCUACAUUAAGACCCUAUAUUAAGAGAAAGAUGUUUUGGUGGAGACGAUCGUUUGGUUAGCUGCCCUCUGCAUGCAUCCACCGUAUUUCUUGGUAAUUAUUGCACACAGACAUUGCAUUACGUAUCCAUAAUUUGUUACUGAAAUUUAUUCUGUAAAAUAGAUUUUGUAGAUUUUAGUGAAUAAAACUGAAUCACAUGGAAA